This is a non-coding RNA of Trichobilharzia regenti, 46 nucleotides long. Lineage: Eukaryota; Metazoa; Platyhelminthes; Trematoda; Strigeidida; Schistosomatidae. The record is from Rfam.
GUACUGCUGAAGAGUCCGAAACUAGGAUGAAACAGCUGUCCAGUAC